Betaproteobacteria bacterium is the source of this 245-nucleotide non-coding RNA. Lineage: Bacteria; Pseudomonadati; Pseudomonadota; Betaproteobacteria. The record is from Rfam.
CGAAUCCCGUGCGGGUAACUGCUAGCCACAGGCCCGGUAUCGAGCCUUGCAGGCGCACUGGCAACAGGACGCUUGAUGCGUAGGCGCGAAAGCAAGCGAGGUGGAAUGGCGGCCAGGUGCUGCCGUGAAGGCUGAAGUCCCGAAAUGACCGCGUGGGAGCGGGCCGAUGGUUUCAAGAUGCCAGCAGGCAACAGCGUGCCGUGCGAAAUGGCGAGCGCGGUGCGCCCACCCGGGAUCUCAGGCCC